Molecule: unclassified non-coding RNA, 166 nt
Filed under: Middelburg virus
Lineage: Riboviria; Orthornavirae; Kitrinoviricota; Alsuviricetes; Martellivirales; Togaviridae
Description: partial 26s subgenomic RNA
Source: RNAcentral
GCCGCCCAUUAUUGUAAACAGAACUCAUUGGCAGAACUAAUUGGAUACUAAUGAUUGGAUUAAACAGAACUAAUUGGCAGAACUAAUUGGAUACUAAUAAUUGGAUUAUUUAUGAUUUGGAAAUAAUAUCGCGACGAUUGCUAGUCGCCAUUGGUUUUAAUAUUCC